GACAGAGGGUGCAAACGUUGUUCGGAAUUACUGGGCGUAAAGCGCGUGUAGGCUGCUCUGCAAGUCGGAUGUGAAAGCCCUGGGCUCAACCUAGGAAGUGCACUCGAAACUGCAGAGCUUGAGUCUCGGAGAGGAUCGCGGAAUUCUCGGUGUAGAGGUGAAAUUCGUAGAUAUCGAGAGGAACACCGGUGGCGAAGGCGGCGAUCUGGACGAUGACUGACGCUGAGACGCGAAAGCGUGGGGAGCGAACAGG
Molecule: ribosomal RNA, 253 nt
Filed under: uncultured bacterium
Lineage: Bacteria
Description: partial 16S ribosomal RNA
Rfam family: Bacterial small subunit ribosomal RNA
Source: RNAcentral